Long non-coding RNA from Marmota monax (woodchuck), 1490 nucleotides. RefSeq lists it as uncharacterized. NCBI's taxonomy places the organism in Eukaryota, Metazoa, Chordata, Mammalia, Rodentia, Sciuridae. The record is from RefSeq and is a predicted model, not a curated record. The transcript is spliced from 5 exons.
GAUGUCUCCGAAGAGUCACGUGGACUGGAAGGAGGGGCUUAGCGAAAGACCCCUUUGGACCGGCAGGGCAGGUGCUCGGCGCGAUAGUCGUGCAGGCAAGCCAAUGAAUACGCGUGGCGGGAGGGUUGAUGAGUGUCUGAGAGAUGGCCACAGCCAGGGAGCCAGCGAGGAGCCGUUCCUGAAAGGGUGGGGACCCAUGUACUCCACAGAAGUAAUUCUUACACUGGGAUGGGAGAGAGGCACGUGAGAGCGAGCCAGCCACCUCCUACUGAAGCCAUCCAGGGAGCCGCCUGGAGCCUGGAGGGUGGAAUGCUGUCUUGGACAGAGAACUUGAUGGCGUACUCAGGGGCGAUCUUGAGGACGUUGAUGCCAUUGCCACGCCACAGGGACCGGACACCGCCCUCCUGGACCAUGCUCCGCAGCCCCCCCAGCAGGUUCAUGAAGUUAGUCUUGGAGGAGUAGACCUGGGGAGGGAGGACCCAGGAGGACCCUGUGGGGAACUCUGCAGAGCUCUAUUGGGGGGCCACCCCUCCCUCUUCAUGCCCAAGUACCCCUGGCUUCUCCGGUUCUGUCCCUAGCUAGUCCUACCCCCACCCAGACCCCAGGGCUGACCCACCUUCCUGUCUCUUCCCUCAUCUCCAUCUUUUCUCCACUCUUAUUCACUUUUCAAACCCAUCUGAAGAACCUGUCCCCAGCUCCCUGAUCUCUGAGCUGACCCUGGCUCAGGGUUGACCCUGUGCCAUCUGACUCCCCUCCCUGGUCCCCAACAUAUCUCUGUGUCCCAUCCACACCAGCUGUGUCACUUCCCAGACCAGGCCCAGCAGUACCCCGUGAGAGCCCUGUUCCAGCCCUACUCCUAGCCCUACCUCCUGCAGUACCAUUGCACCCCCACCACGUCCUGUGCCCAGUGGCUCACCUACCUGCAUGUAUACCUUGGCGCGGUCCAGAGGGGCUGUGCCUGUGCGAGACACUGCCCCAGCCAUGGCCCCCAACAGCAGGAACUUCCACAAGGCCCCCUCGCCGCCCACUUCCAGCACCUCCACGGGGACCAUCAGCUGCUCCCCCGUGUCCAGCACCUGCUGGGCAGACCCAACCCUUGCCCAUGCGCAGCGAUGCUGGAGCUCCUUCCCUGGGCACGUCUCUGGGAAAUCCUCCUGGGUUGGAGACACAGGACCCCUGUGGUUUCCAAACUCACCGGCUGUGACGGGAGAUGUUCCAGCCCUAACUUCCUGUGGGAUGGAAGCUGGAGGUAGGGCCUUUGGUAGUAAUGACAUCAGAUGGGAUCAUGGGGGGGUGGCCUCUAAGGUGGGUUAAUGCCCUUAUAGGAAAACAAGGCGAGACUAGAGCUUUGUCCCUCUCUUCACCAUGAGGACAUAGCACAAAGGCAGCCCUCUGCAAGCCAGGAAGAGAGAGCCCUCACCAGGAACUGAACCAGCCUGAUCUUGGACUCCAGCCUCCAGAACCGUGAGGAAUAAAUGCCUGUUGGUUAA